Molecule: ribosomal RNA, 475 nt
Filed under: uncultured soil bacterium
Lineage: Bacteria
Description: bacterial SSU rRNA
Rfam family: Bacterial small subunit ribosomal RNA
Source: RNAcentral
AGGACGAACGCUGGCGGCGUGCUUAACACAUGCAAGUCGAGCGGUAAGGCCUUUCGGGGUACACGAGCGGCGAACGGGUGAGUAACACGUGGGUGAUCUGCCCUGCACUUCGGGAUAAGCCUGGGAAACUGGGUCUAAUACCGGAUAUGACCUCCUAUCGCAUGGUGGGUGGUGGAAAGAUUUAUCGGUGCAGGAUGGGCCCGCGGCCUAUCAGCUUGUUGGUGGGGUAAUGGCCUACCAAGGCGACGACGGGUAGCCGACCUGAGAGGGUGACCGGCCACACUGGGACUGAGACACGGCCCAGACUCCUACGGGAGGCAGCAGUGGGGAAUAUUGCACAAGUGGGACGAAAGCCUGAUGCAGCGACGCCGCGUGAGGAUGACGGCCUUCGGGUUGUAAACCUCUUUCAGCAGGGACGAAGCGCAAGUGACGGUACCUGCAGAAGAAGCACCGGCUAACGCGUGCCAGCAGCCGC